Molecule: small RNA, 2269 nt
Filed under: Pongo abelii (Sumatran orangutan)
Lineage: Eukaryota; Metazoa; Chordata; Mammalia; Primates; Hominidae
Description: retained intron
Source: RNAcentral
CUUCCCCGGAGUGACCCAUUUGGGCUUGACAGGCGGAUAUGAGCAGCGAAAGAGUGAUCCGUUCCGAAGACGGAGAGACCCUGGCCAGGGUAAGUGACUGUCUGUGGGACAGGGUGAAGAGUGGGGGCAACCUGAGGCUGGCCCUGAGGACACUCUCUCCCGGGCAGGAGUACGGUGUUCCCUUCCUGGAGACCAGCGCCAAGACUGGCAUGAAUGUGGAGUUAGCCUUUCUGGCCAUCGCCAAGGAACUGAAAUACCGGGCCGGGCAUCGGGCGGAUGAGCCCAGCUUCCAGAUCCGAGACUAUGUAGAGUCCCAGAAGAAGCGCUCCAGCUGCUGCUCCUUCGUGUGAAUCCCAGGGGGCAGAGAGGAGGCUCUGGAGGCAUACAGGAUGCAGCCGUCCCCCCCAGGCCUGGCUUAUUCCGAGCAGCUGAGCCAAUGGGGAGAAAGAUGGAAGACUCACUGCACAGCCCCUUCCUAGCAGGGAGCUAUACUCCAGCUCCUACUUGAGUUCCUGCAGUCUCCCCGCAUCCACUGGGAGGGUAAAACACUUAGCUUUUAUUUUAAUAGUUCAUAAUUCAAUACCAAAAAAGGCACCCGGAUCCCCAAAAUACCGAGGCUGGGACCUAGUGGCCCUUUUGCUUUCUAGGACUUGGGGGGCUGGCCCUCCCUCCCAAGCAUAACAAAGGUGGUGUUGCUCCAGCUCAGCCCCAGGGGACACAGAUGCACUUUGGGGGUGAGGGCAGGUAAUGACUCCAUCGCACCCUCAGUUCAGCUGGACAGAGGCUCAGGUGACCCCAACCUUCACUGUCUCCUGCUCUCCAGGAGCUUAUCUUCGCCCCAUCUCCCAAAUAAGUGGGCCCUUGUGCUGUGAGGGAGACCAAAGCCUCAGGGAAGAUAAGAGAUUCGGAGAUGGGAGGGGGAGGACAAGGGACAGAGAGUAGGGUCUAGCUGGCUAUCUCUGGCCUUACUAACACCCCCCUGGAGGCAUGCCCCUUUUCUCCAGCACACAAGCACAUUGGGGCACCUGGAAAUAUUGGUUCCAGGCUCCUGUUCUCUGGACUUCAGAUCCUGGGGGAGCCCCUCCCCACUGAAUCCCUGGCUUACCUAGCUUCCUGCCUGUGCACCUAAAAACCUCAGGUCAGAACUAGGAAAAGAGUUUUGUUUUUUUAUUUUUUUGAGAUGGAGUCUCGCUCUGUCGCCCAGGCUGGGGUGCAGUAGUGCAAUCUCUGCUAGCUACAACCUCCACCCCCUGGGGCUCAAGCGAUCCUCACACCUCGCCCCCCAAGUAGCUGGGACUACAGGCGUGCACCACCAUACCUGGCUAAUUUUUGUAUUUUUUGUAGACACAGGGUUUUGCCAUGUUGCCCAGGCUGGUCUUGAAUUCCUGAGCUCAAGCGACCUGCCAGCCUCGGCCUCCCAAAGUACUGGGAUGACAGGCAGAAGGCACCACACCCAGGCUAGAUGUGACUUAUCCCAAUCCUUUGGCAGGCAUGCAGCUCCACAGGUGAUUUCUUCAAGCAGCUGAAGUGUUUAGCUCUCCUGGGUUAAGAGCCAGAUAAGGAGAAAUCCCUUUCCUAGGUUUGGAAUGUGUUGUGAAAAAAAAGAGAAAUCCCUGGCUCCUGGAGCUGGUGGGAGACAAGAUUAAGCAAACCUCCCCCGACACGUAUCCCUUUGACCCCAAGCUCUGCCUCCUCCCUAACCACCCAUUGCCUUUCCUUUAACUUCUCAAACAGAUACCAGGGCCUAAACUGCUUUACCUCCCCUCCUACUGAGUCAGGUUAGGGGGUGGGAGGUCCCCCAUUUCCAAGUGAAACCAAUGCAAUAUGAGUAAAACAAGGUCAUGUGGGUAUGUCUGGGGUAGAGAGAGGGGUAGCAAGUCCAUGUGGCCUCCUUGGUCACAUAUCUCCCAAAGCUCUGAUCCCUGCCACGGGAAGUGGACAGGAAACAUGACGUCAUGACCUGCAGGCACCUUUACUGCAGCUCUGCAGGCCUGGUGGGGGAGCGGGGAGGAAAUAGUAUGCGCUGCACAUUUCUAAGGCUACUGCAUUUGCUUUCAAGGCAGAAAUCUUGCUCUGAGCAGUCAGCGGCUCCAGUUUGGGCCCGAUAAGGAAGUUCUCCGUGGCCUCUCUCAGGCACAGCAGGGAGGAGGCUGACAUUGCCAGUCUCUUCUGGGGCCCAAGGCAGGUUGCAGGAGAUCCAAUCCCGUAGACAGCUCUGGGCCUCUUGCAUCUGAGUUUUUCAGAAUUAAACUGCAGUAUUUUGGAAAGC